GAUGAACGCUGGCGGCGUGCCUAAUACAUGCAAGUCGAGCGAACGGACGAGAAGCUUGCUUUUCUGAUGUUAGCGGCGGACGGGUGAGUAACACGUGGAUAACCUACCUAUAAGACUGGGAUAACUUCGGGAAACCGGAGCUAAUACCGGAUAAUAUUUUGAACCGCAUGGUUCAAAAGUGAAAGACGGUCUUGCUGUCACUUAUAGAUGGAUCCGCGCUGCAUUAGCUAGUUGGUAAGGUAACGGCUUACCAAGGCAACGAUGCAUAGCCGACCUGAGAGGGUGAUCGGCCACACUGGAACUGAGACACGGUCCAGACUCCUACGGGAGGCAGCAGUAGGGAAUCUUCCGCAAUGGGCGAAAGCCUGACGGAGCAACGCCGCGUGAGUGAUGAAGGUCUUCGGAUCGUAAAACUCUGUUAUUAGGGAAGAACAUAUGUGUAAGUAACUGUGCACAUCUUGACGGUACCUAAUCAGAAAGCCACGGCUAACUACGUGCCAGCAGCCGCGGUAAUACGUAGGUGGCAAGCGUUAUCCGGAAUUAUUGGGCGUAAAGCGCGCGUAGGCGGUUUUUUAAGUCUGAUGUGAAAGCCCACGGCUCAACCGUGGAGGGUCAUUGGAAACUGGAAAACUUGAGUGCAGAAGAGGAAAGUGGAAUUCCAUGUGUAGCGGUGAAAUGCGCAGAGAUGUGGAGGAACACCAGUGGCGAAGGCGACUUUCUGGUCUGUAACUGACGCUGAUGUGCGAAAGCGUGGGGAUCAAACAGGAUUAGAUACCCUGGUAGUCCACGCCGUAAACGAUGAGUGCUAAGUGUUAGGGGGUUUCCGCCCCUUAGUGCUGCAGCUAACGCAUUAAGCACUCCGCCUGGGGAGUACGACCGCAAGGUUGAAACUCAAAGGAAUUGACGGGGGCCCGCACAAGCGGUGGAGCAUGUGGUUUAAUUCGAAGCAACGCGAAGAACCUUACCAAAUCUUGACAUCCUUUGACAACUCUAGAGAUAGAGCCUUCCCCUUCGGGGGACAAAGUGGCAGGUGGUGCAUGGUUGUCGUCAGCUCGUGUCGUGAGAUGUUGGGUUAAGUCCCGCAACGAGCGCAACCCUUAAGCUUAGUUGCCAUCAUUAAGUUGGGCACUCUAAGUUGACUGCCGGUGACAAACCGGAGGAAGGUGGGGAUGACGUCAAAUCAUCAUGCCCCUUAUGAUUUGGGCUACACACGUGCUACAAUGGACAAUACAAAGGGCAGCGAAACCGCGAGGUCAAGCAAAUCCCAUAAAGUUGUUCUCAGUUCGGAUUGUAGUCUGCAACUCGACUACAUGAAGCUGGAAUCGCUAGUAAUCGUAGAUCAGCAUGCUACGGUGAAUACGUUCCCGGGUCU
RNAcentral lists this ribosomal RNA (1372 nucleotides) under uncultured bacterium. RNAcentral describes it as "bacterial SSU rRNA". It matches the Rfam family "Bacterial small subunit ribosomal RNA", at positions 28 to 1381 of the family's 1533-position model. The record is from RNAcentral.